CCAAACGCAAUGAAAAGAAGAGUAUGCAAACCACAAAGUUUACAGAGAACCUACAUAUGCUGAGAGUAGGAAUGGAGUGCUUGCGGAAGAUGGUCUUGGAGCGGUGUACCGAGGUGAGUAAACACUUAGGCUACAACGGGGUUCGCCCGUCACAGCGAUAGAGUAUGUAUGUACUCGAUAAGGUUUAUAUUGCGAAAUAUAAGCGAAAAAAGGUGGUAACACGGAAGCGACUAACGCUCUCGUCCUUUUA
Molecule: non-coding RNA, 250 nt
Filed under: Candidatus Epulonipiscium sp.
Lineage: Bacteria; Bacillati; Bacillota; Clostridia; Lachnospirales; Lachnospiraceae
Description: Epulopiscium sp. T-box sequence
Rfam family: T-box leader
About the family: Uncharged tRNA acts as the effector for transcription antitermination of genes in the T-box leader family. T-boxes are found upstream of many aminoacyl-tRNA synthetase genes and some amino acid biosynthetic genes usually in Gram-positive bacteria.
Source: RNAcentral